AAUGAACGCUGGCGGCAGGCCUAACACAUGCAAGUCGAGCGAAGUCUUCGGACUUAGCGGCGGACGGGUGAGUAACGCGUGGGAACAUGCCCUUUGGUGCGGAAUAGCCCCGGGAAACUGGGAGUAAUAACGCAUGUGCCCUUCGGGGGAAAGAUUUAUCGCCAAAGGAUUGGCCCGCGUUGGAUUAGGUAGUUGGUGGGGUAAUGGCCUACCAAGCCGACGAUCCAUAGCUGGUGUGAGAGGAUGACCAGCCACACUGGGACUGAGACACGGCCCAGACUCCUACGGGAGGCAGCAGUGGGGAAUCUUAGACAAUGGGCGCAAGCCUGAUCGAGCCAUGCCGCGUGAUCGAUGAAGGCCUUAGGGUUGUAAAGAUCUUUCAGUGGGGAAGAUAAUGACGGUACCCACAGAAGAAGCCCCGGCUAACUCCGUG
RNAcentral lists this ribosomal RNA (433 nucleotides) under uncultured bacterium. RNAcentral describes it as "partial 16S ribosomal RNA". It matches the Rfam family "Bacterial small subunit ribosomal RNA", at positions 29 to 507 of the family's 1533-position model. The record is from RNAcentral.